RNAcentral lists this unclassified non-coding RNA (20 nucleotides) under Canis lupus familiaris (dog). RNAcentral describes it as "RNA Expansion segment ES20 from Canis lupus familiaris (PDB 4V5Z, chain BL)". The record is from RNAcentral. Lineage: Eukaryota; Metazoa; Chordata; Mammalia; Carnivora; Canidae.
UGGGCGCCGCGAGGCGUCCA